CAGUAGCCGCGGGAAUACGUAGGGUGCAAGCGUUAAUCGGAAUUACUGGGCGUAAAGCGCGCGUAGGUGGUUUGUUAAGUUGGAUGUGAAAGCCCCGGGCUCAACCUGGGAACUGCAUCCAAAACUGGCAAGCUAGAGUACGGUAGAGGGUGGUGGAAUUUCCUGUGUAGCGGUGAAAUGCGUAGAUAUAGGAAGGAACAUCAGUGGCGAAGGCGACCACCUGGACUGAUACUGACACUGAGGUGCGAAAGCGUGGGGAGCAAACAGGAUUAGAUACCCCGGUAGUCCCUGUCUCUUAUAU
This 301-nucleotide ribosomal RNA is filed under the name uncultured bacterium. RNAcentral's name for it is "partial 16S ribosomal RNA". It matches the Rfam family "Bacterial small subunit ribosomal RNA", at positions 509 to 809 of the family's 1533-position model. The record is from RNAcentral.